Molecule: ribosomal RNA, 432 nt
Filed under: grassland soil clone saf2_117
Lineage: Bacteria
Description: bacterial SSU rRNA
Rfam family: Bacterial small subunit ribosomal RNA
Source: RNAcentral
AACACAUGCAAGUCGAACGGAAAGGCCCUUCGGGGUACUCGAGUGGCGAACGGGUGAGUAACACGUGGGCAACCUGCCCCUAGCUCUGGGAUAACUCCGGGAAACCGGUGCUAAUACCGGAUACACACCUUUUGAGGCAUCUCAGAUGGUGGAAAGUUUUUCGGCUAGGGAUGGGCCCGCGGCCUAUCAGCUUGUUGGUGGGGUAAUGGCCUACCAAGGCGACGACGGGUAGCCGGCCUGAGAGGGCGACCGGCCACACUGGGACUGAGACACGGCCCAGACUCCUACGGGAGGCAGCAGUGGGGAAUAUUGCGCAAUGGGCGAAAGCCUGACGCAGCGACGCCGCGUGAGGGAUGACGGCCUUCGGGUUGUAAACYUCUUUCAGYUCUGACGAAGNGCAAGUGACGGUAGGAGCAGAAGAAGCACCGGCCA